This 856-nucleotide ribosomal RNA is filed under the name Rutstroemia sydowiana. Its description in RNAcentral is "eukaryotic LSU rRNA". The stretch from base 553 to 706 matches the Rfam family "5.8S ribosomal RNA". The record is from RNAcentral. Lineage: Eukaryota; Fungi; Ascomycota; Leotiomycetes; Helotiales; Rutstroemiaceae.
GGAAGCCUUUGCACCCCGGGAGGGGCAAGUGCAGCGACUAUAAACAAAGCAUUUUUAGCAGGUAGCCAUUAGGCUGCAACACAAUCGAAUUGCGGGAAUGUUCUAAAGCUUUACAGUACCAACUUAGUUUAGGAAACUUGCUGAGGGCCUAUGCUAAUGACAUAGGGUAUGGUUACAAUCUGUAGAGAUAUUACAAUGGACUAUUCGCAGCGAAGCCUCUAACAGCGCAAGCUCAUGAGGACCGUUCACAGACUAAGUGGUUGUGGGUUACAGGCUUUAGAGCCUGUGCCUAAGAUAUAGUCGGGCUAUUGAAGAGAUUCGAUAGGGUGUUUCGCACCAAACCGUUCCGUAGGUGAACCUGCGGAAGGAUCAUUACAGAGUUCAUGCCCUAACGGGUAGACCUCCACCCUUGUGUAUUUAUACUUUGUUGCUUUGGCGAGCUGCCCUGGGCUUAAUUGCCCAGAGCCCCAGGCUUUCGAGCCUGAGAGUCGUUCGCCGAAGGAAAACUAAACCCUGAUAAUUAUUGUCGUCUGAGUACUAUAUAAUAGUUAAAACUUUCAACAACGGAUCUCUUGGUUCUGGCAUCGAUGAAGAACGCAGCGAAAUGCGAUAAGUAAUGUGAAUUGCAGAAUUCAGUGAAUCAUCGAAUCUUUGAACGCACAUUGCGCCCCUUGGUAUUCCGGGGGGCAUGCCUGUUCGAGCGUCAUUUCAACCCUCAAGCUUAGCUUGGUAUUGGGCUUCGUCAGUAAAAUGGCGGGCUUUAAAAUCAGUGGCGGCGCCACUAGGCCCUGAACGUAGUAAUAUAUUUCGUUAUAGGUGUCUGGUGUGCUUCUGCCAUUAAACCCCCAAUUUUUUA